This 424-nucleotide ribosomal RNA is filed under the name uncultured bacterium. RNAcentral describes it as "partial 16S ribosomal RNA". It matches the Rfam family "Bacterial small subunit ribosomal RNA", at positions 360 to 776 of the family's 1533-position model. The record is from RNAcentral.
AAUAUUUGACAAUGGGCGAAAGCCUGACCCAGCCAUGCCGCGUGUGUGAUGACGGUCUUCGGAUUGUAUAGCACCUUAAGAAGGGAGGAAGGGUAGAAAGCUGAUACCCUGCUGGUAUGACGUUACCGACAGAAUAAGCACCCGCUAACUUCGUGCCAGCAGCCGCGGUAAUACGAAGGGUGCAAGCGUUAAUCGGAAUUACUGGGCGUAAAGCGCGCGUAGGUGGUUUGUUAAGUUGGAAGUGAAAGCCCCGGGCUCAACCUGGGAACUGCUUUCAAAACUGGCAAGCUGGAGUAUGGCAGAGGGUGGUGGAAUUUCCUGUGUAGCGGUGAAAUGCGUAGAUAUAGGAAGGAACACCAGUGGCGAAGGCGACCACCUGGGCUAAUACUGACACUGAGGUGCGAGAGCGUGGGGAGCAAACAGG